ACGCCUACUCUUGUGAUCAAACGAGUUCUUCAACUCUCAUGGGUUCUCUAUCUCAAUCAUUCAACUCCUACUCAAGCUCUAAAAUUUUGAAGAGAAAAAGCAUAAUGUAAGGUUUGUCCUAACUCUUUUGUAAGUGUAUCUAAAAACUUGUUCUUGUUUUCUUCUACAAUAUUAUUUGUUUAUGUUAAUUGUUAACUGAAUAUGAAGGAUCCAAAGAAGGAAAAAUGUGAUUUUUAGGAAUGGAUUGAUGAAGAUGAAGAAAAUAUAACCAAGAACAAGAAUAAAAUAGAUGAAUAACAUGAACACUCUAUUGAAGUGAAGAUUGCAAUAUUGGAAUAUGAUUUUAGUGUUUACAAGUUGAAGACUGAUAAGGAAUGAAAUAAUUUUAUAAAGGAAUUGGAUAAAAUGAAAUGUUUGGUAUCGUAAUGUUUUGUAUUAAACUCAUGUAUUGUUGGUAUGAAGUGGGAAUUAAAAAGGUGUGUAUGUAGGUUGUUAGUUGUAAUACAAUUUUCUAACUGUAGGGGCAAAAUGGUCCGUAAAAUGAGUAGGAAAUAAGGAGACCAUCUAGCAGUUGUAGGAUGUACAUAGAAAUUGGACAAUGCAACCCGUUCAUUAAAAAGCUAAAUUAGUUUCAAGAAUAGCAUUGUACAUUUAUUGAAUACAUUGUUAAUCUAUUUUCAUAUAAUCUUUAAAAAUAAAAAAAAAUUGUGGUGUACUUUUAUUAAAAGAUAACAACAGGAUUAUAAUGACGUACUGGCCUAAUUUUUGAAGAAGAUGGGCAAAAUGGUAAAAAAAAAUAGGGGUAAAUUGGUACUAGCAGGGGUAAAAUUGUCCGUAAACUAUUUUUUACACAGUUUUAACAGUAGAGGCAAGAUGGUCCAUAAAACAGUUUAUUCAUAAAUUUUGGACAUUUUUAUACUAAUUUUUGGACAGUUUUACAAAGUUUUAAUAGCAAGGCCAAAAUGGUCAAAUUUUGACUGGUUUAUACAGUUUUUUGUGUUUUAAAACAAUUUAUACAAUUUUCUGUGUUUUAAAACAGUUUCACAUUUAAAAAAAGGUACACAAUAUGCAUAAAAACUAUAUAAGAAACCAUUUAAAGUAAAUAUUAAACAUAUUUAAACCAUGUACAUAUGACACGGAAUGUUCUUCAAUGUGUACAACACCAAAAGACAAGCAUAAGCACCAAAAUAUGUGCACUAGGCACCAUAAGAUGUGUCAUUGCAUAAUGUUUGACAUAAUCGUAAUAGAAAACACCUACCCCAGUUUAGAGCGACUAGAUUUUCAUGAGUUUCCCCACUCCCAUCUUUUGUUACCACCUUCUUCCUCAACUUCAGUUUCAUGAUCCUCUCAGAAGGUAAUCGCCUCUUGUUGACAACAAAAUGCUAAAAACAGUAGCUUCAUUGUUAUCAAAAACAACUUCAUGGAAAUCAACAACAUCCUGGACAUCAAUUUCAUGUCCAAUAGCUUCAUGGUGAUCAACAACAAAUUGAACAUCAACUUUAUGUCCAAUAGCUUCUUGGUGAUCAAGAGGUUCUUCAAUAUUAGCUUCAGUAUCAACUUGAUGCCCAAUAGCAUCUCACCAUCUUCUUGAACAACAACUACAUGUCCAACAACUUCUUGGUGGUCAAGAGGUUCUUCAACAUUAGCUUCAGUAUCAAAUUCAUGUCUGAUAGCUUCUUCACCAUCUACGUGAACAUCAACAUUACUUUCAACUUCAUGCCCAAAAGCUUCUUAACCAUCUUCCUGAACAUCAACAUCACUUUCAACUUGAUCCCUAAAAGCUAUUCUUCACCAUCUUUUUGAACAUUAGCAUCACUUUCAACUUGAUCCCCAAAAGCUUUUUCACCAUUUUCCUGAACCUCAACAUCACUUUCAACUUGAUCUCCAUCACCUUCUUCAGUAACAGGUGGUUCCUCAUUGUACACAUGAGCUGUUGUAUUUUUAAAACAAAUAAAUUUAUUAUUAUACAAAUGUAGAUGAAUAAACAAUGAAAAUACAAAUCAACCUUCUAUGAGCAACAUACAUCACUUCUUGUUAUGUCCUUCUUGAUGAUAAUUACCACAUCUGUUAAUAGACAUCCCUUUCUCGUUAAUCGUACACCUUUCUUUAUUCUUAAUAUGACAUCUCCUACACCUAGGUGGUACUAUGGGAUCACAUUGAAUAGCAAGCCACAUGUUAACUCCAUUAAUUGGUUUGACUAGAUAUCUAUAGCAACUUCCAAACAUGCUUGUUUUAAACCACACAACUACAUACUCUUCUACAUUUCCAUCCAGGUACAAUAUUGCAGCAACGACAUACACAUAAGGUAUACCACUGAGUUGCCAGGCUCUACAACCACAUGUUUUGCGUUCAAGGUGAACUACUUAAAUUUCAUGGGCUAAUUUCACUUCAUAUUCUUGGUCACCACUUUGAACAACAUCCUAAUACAUGUUAUGAAAUCAUUUAAAAAGGUAAGUUAUUUCAUAUUAAGUCACUUGCAAUUGAAGAAUCUACCAUACCUUUGUUGUUCUUGCAUAUUCUUAUUCCUCUUUCUAAUGGAGGGGUAGAUUUCUAAGUCCCACUUUUUCCCUUUAAGCUUUUGAUUGCACAUCAUCUCCAUCACGUACAACCUGAUUUCUUCCAAUAUUGUUAUUAUAGAUUUCUUCUGGGCCUAUACGAUUGAUACAUUAGAAAAUUUAAAUAUACUGUUAUGUACAACAUCACAACACCUCUCAGGUUUUAAGAAUGUGCUACACUAUGUAUUCGGGCCUCUUUCUAUCUGGUGGUCAUAAGCUUCUAUGGACAUUGCACAAAUUUCCCUCAUGUAAGAGAAAAAAAUCGAGUCAGUUGUAGCCUUGAAAGCUCUUUAAAAUAGCUUCCUAAAUUCGACACUCGUGAACCCCUUCUUCAUAAAGUUAGCGAAGAUGUGUCGGGUAUAAUUCCUAUGCUAAAAUGAUGGUGCCCUUUCUUUAACAGCCUCCAUCAAACCCUACA
This 2973-nucleotide long non-coding RNA is filed under the name Lactuca sativa (garden lettuce). RNAcentral's name for it is "long non-coding RNA (LSAT_LNC004201)". Lineage: Eukaryota; Viridiplantae; Streptophyta; Magnoliopsida; Asterales; Asteraceae. The record is from RNAcentral.